Molecule: ribosomal RNA, 459 nt
Filed under: uncultured bacterium
Lineage: Bacteria
Description: partial 16S ribosomal RNA
Rfam family: Bacterial small subunit ribosomal RNA
Source: RNAcentral
CCUACGGGAGGCAGCAGUGAGGCAUAUUGGUCAAUGGCCGCAGGGCUGAACCAGCCAAGUCGCGUGAGGGAUGACGGUCCUAUGGAUUGUAAACCUCUUUUGUCAGGGAGCAAAGGGCGCCACGUGUGGCGCUUUGCGAGUACCUGACGAACAAGCAUCGGCUAACUCCGUGCCAGCAGCCGCGGUAAUACGGAGGAUGCAAGCGUUAUCCGGAUUUAUUGGGUUUAAAGGGUGCGCAGGCGGAAUGUCAAGUCAGCGGUAAAAUUUCGGGGCUCAACCCCGUCGUGCCGUUGAAACUGGCGUUCUUGAGUGAGCGAGAAGUAUGCGGAAUGCGUGGUGUAGCGGUGAAAUGCAUAGAUAUCACGCAGAACUCCGAUUGCGAAGGCAGCAUACCGGCGUUCAACUGACGCUCAUGCACGAAAGCGUGGGUAUCGAACAGGAUUAGAUACCCGAGUAGUC